CGCGUAGGCGGACUUUCAAGUCGGAUGUGAAAACUGGCGGCUCAACUGCCAGCCUGCAUCCGAUACUGUUGGUCUUGAGUACAUGAGAGGAAAGCGGAAUUCCAGGUGUAGCGGUGGAAUGCGUAGAUAUCUGGAAGAACACCAGUUGCGAAGGCGGCUUUCUGGCGUGAUACUGACGCUGAAGCGCGAAGGCUAGGGGAGCAAACA
This 207-nucleotide ribosomal RNA is filed under the name uncultured bacterium. RNAcentral's name for it is "partial 16S ribosomal RNA". It matches the Rfam family "Bacterial small subunit ribosomal RNA", at positions 568 to 774 of the family's 1533-position model. The record is from RNAcentral.